CGUGGCUUACAAGCCUAAACACGUUCCCCAGUAUUGCGUUAGCCGGCGCACGACGUUGACGUAAGCUGGAGCCCACAUUGCUUUUCAACAAUCAAAAAAUACGUUUGUGGAAGGCCGAAAGAGCGCAGUGUGAUAUCAAAAAAUAUAAUGAUGCCGAUGAAGAAGUGAAACAAAGGAUUUCGUACGUGUAGCUCAAGCUGCAAGCCUUUCUACAGCCACAAGUUUUAAAAGAGCAAAUGUUGUUUUUUUGAUUGUUAGAACUAUGUUUGUAAGCUUAUUAUGUUAAACAUUUCUAUAAUAAAAGAGAUUAUAGACCAUU
Helicoverpa zea (corn earworm) is the source of this 319-nucleotide long non-coding RNA. RefSeq lists it as uncharacterized. NCBI's taxonomy places the organism in Eukaryota, Metazoa, Arthropoda, Insecta, Lepidoptera, Noctuidae. The record is from RefSeq and is a predicted model, not a curated record. The transcript has 2 exons.